GGGGCUGUUGCUCAGUGGUAGAGCGCUCAUCUGGCACACGCGAGGCACUGGGUUCAAUCCUCAGCACCACA
This 71-nucleotide transfer RNA is filed under the name Marmota monax (woodchuck). Its description in RNAcentral is "tRNA.Ala". The record is from RNAcentral. Lineage: Eukaryota; Metazoa; Chordata; Mammalia; Rodentia; Sciuridae.